Molecule: long non-coding RNA, 1188 nt
Filed under: Olea europaea subsp. europaea
Lineage: Eukaryota; Viridiplantae; Streptophyta; Magnoliopsida; Lamiales; Oleaceae
Source: RNAcentral
CCAAACUCAGUCUCUCUCGCUCUCUCAACCCUCUAACUAGAUCGUCGGUGUGAAGAUCUCCUUCAAAUCCAAAAGGGUGGCAGUUUUAUUAAUCCUUGUUAAAUUGGAAAGAAGAUAGCAAAACAAAUUAGACCGACAUAUUUGCACAAUUUCUUUAGAAUCUGAAAUCGAAGAUGUUGAUGACACAAGCCCUUUUUUCACAAUCUCUUGCCCACAGAUUCUCGACUCAGAAGUAAGAUGAUUCCUGUCUCUUGAAGCAGAUCCUUAAAAGCUAUGUACUUGCAUUGGGGUGAAAAAAGUCACUGAAUGAAUUGGUCGAGGACAAUAUGUUUCAUUGACUCUCAUAAAGAGCAAUGUAAGUUGAAAACCUUUUGUCCGAGAAUAAAAGGAGCGUAGCAGCCAGGUAUUACAUGGAAAAAGAGAUUUUUCGCCUCCUCCAAAUCACUGGUAUGGCUAUCAACAUGUGGGUUCCAGAUCCUCUGUGGCCUCAAUUUCAUUAUAAGUUGGAAAUGAUUAUUUCGUUAUAAAUCAUCUCAACAAGUUCCAACUCCUUGUAUUAUAGGUUUCAUUUUCACAUGAGAUUGGGAAUCCGUGAGCCUAUGUAUUACUUUCCAUGAAGCAUUUCAAUUGCAAUAGCCUCAUCUUUAUUUCAGACAGUAUUCUCAAUUGUCAUACUUUAAUUUCUGGUUAUAAGCUAAGAAAGGUUGAACAGGAUGUAAUCAUGCUUGUAUGCACUUUUAUGUUUUUAGUCUUGCUUUUCCAUUUAGUGUUUUCUUGUAUUAUUGACAACAUUCUAUUGGGAUGUAUAUACAUACAGGUGCUACUGUAUUCGUCGUGAUAAUAAUAUUGGGAGCUAUUUUCAGCCUGUCGAAAGAAUUAAGAUUGCCAAUUCAUGGGAAGAAGUUGAGGAAACAGUUUGGGGGGAUCUAAACGAUUAUGCGGCCGGCUUCCGUUGACGAGUACAAAUCCAACCGAUGUAUUUGCACAAUUUCUUCAGAAUCUGAAAUCGAAGACAUCUGGGACACAAGCCAUUUUUUUUUUUCACAAAACAAAAAUGUAAAACAAAAGAAUUGUUGUACAGCUAUGGACUUGUCACUGGAACUAAUUUAUAGUCCCAUAGAAUUGUUGUUAUCCGAGAGCAAAACAAAGAAGCAAAAAGACAGUAAAUGAAAAAAAAAUGAUUUCAGG